RNAcentral lists this ribosomal RNA (763 nucleotides) under Lodderomyces parapsilosis. RNAcentral describes it as "LSU rRNA". It matches the Rfam family "Eukaryotic large subunit ribosomal RNA", at positions 83 to 863 of the family's 3401-position model. The record is from RNAcentral. Lineage: Eukaryota; Fungi; Ascomycota; Pichiomycetes; Serinales; Debaryomycetaceae.
GUAGCGGCGAGUGAAGCGGCAAAAGCUCAAAUUUGAAAUCUGGCACUUUCAGUGUCCGAGUUGUAAUUUGAAGAAGGUAUCUUUGGGUCUGGCUCUUGUCUAUGUUUCUUGGAACAGAACGUCACAGAGGGUGAGAAUCCCGUGCGAUGAGAUGUCCCAGACCUAUGUAAAGUUCCUUCGAAGAGUCGAGUUGUUUGGGAAUGCAGCUCUAAGUGGGUGGUAAAUUCCAUCUAAAGCUAAAUAUUGGCGAGAGACCGAUAGCGAACAAGUACAGUGAUGGAAAGAUGAAAAGAACUUUGAAAAGAGAGUGAAAAAGUACGUGAAAUUGUUGAAAGGGAAGGGCUUGAGAUCAGACUUGGUAUUUUGUAUGUUACUCUCUCGGGGGUGGCCUCUACAGUUUACCGGGCCAGCAUCAGUUUGAGCGGUAGGAUAAGUGCAAAGAAAUGUGGCACUGCUUCGGUAGUGUGUUAUAGUCUUUGUCGAUACUGCCAGCUUAGACUGAGGACUGCGGCUUCGGCCUAGGAUGUUGGCAUAAUGAUCUUAAGUCGCCCGUCUUGAAACACGGACCAAGGAGUCUAACGUCUAUGCGAGUGUUUGGGUGUAAAACCCGUACGCGUAAUGAAAGUGAACGUAGGUAGGACCUCCUUUAGGAGUGCACUAUCGACCGAUCCUGAUGUCUUCGGAUGGAUUUGAGUAAGAGCAUAGCUGUUGGGACCCGAAAGAUGGUGAACUAUGCCUGAAUAGGGUGAAGCCAGAGGAAACU